GGGGGGGGGGGGGGGGCACCAGCAGCCUUCUGAACUGAGAGCCGCAGGGGCUGACAGCAUUCCAGGCUGAAGGGCCCAAGUAGACGCUGACCCAUGCAUUUAUUCUCUCUGAACAGCUGCUCAUUAUUAACAAAGGUGUUCGGUAUUUUCUUAUAACACAAAACAUGCCAAGUAGGCAGCUGGAGCCCACUUACCACUGAUCACAAACAACCUAAGAAGUAUUCUCCACGAGGGAGCCAUGGGGGCAGGGUCAGAUAGCUUAAAGAAUUGUUUUAACAGGUGUGUGAUAUUUUUAUAUUGUCCUGCCACUUUGGAAUGCCCCCAGUAGUUUUCUACUGGCGGGGGUGGCUAGGUUUUCCUUGCCAUCAUUCAUCCUAGCAAACAAUAUAUUCUAUCAUACACUCAGCAUUCAUCAGUAUUCAUAAAUUUAACAUUUCCCGACAUCAGUAUUCAUAAACUUAACAUUUCUCAACAACGUGGUUUCACCAUGUUGGCCAGGUUGGUCUGGAACUCCUGGCCCCAAGUGAUCUGCCCGCCUCAGUCUCCCAAAGUGCUGGGAUUACAGGCGUGAGCCAUCGUGCCCAGCCUCCAAGUUGCAUUUGAAAGAUCUCUCCAGUUGCAUGAGGUAAAGGAUUGGAAUGAAGUGAGGGGGUGAGCUGUUACAGGCCUACAUAGCCACCACAGAGUGACAGUCAUAACUAAUUGCGAAGCGUUGUCCUAAGGCUCUACAUAGAUGAUUAUAUUUAAUCUCUGUAGCAGUCCUACAUGGGAGGCACUUACAUUAUUCCCAUUAUAUUGAUGUGAAAAUUGAGGUCAAGUAACUUCUCCCUUUGACUCCAAAGGGAAGUCAGGAGUCAAAUUCCAGGCUCAACUCCAUAGCCUGACUGGUAACCAUUAUGCAAUAAACAGGGAAAAUUAAAAGUGCCUGUUGUAGGAAGAGACUAUUCUGGUAACAGCUAACUCCCAGAAUCCGUUCCUUUUAUUUUUUCCUUGAUGGCCCAUUUUAUUUUGCUCAGCAUAGUCUUUCAUCCUACUUUAGGGUAUCACAUGGAAAAAAUAUGGAACGCUUCACCAAUCUGCGCGUCAUUGCUUCCAAUUUUAGUAUAGGUACUGCCUAACCCAGCACCCAGAUAAAAUGACCAAUCCUUCACACCGGCCUCGGAAAGCCAGCCAAUCAGCAAUCGUCUUACUCCAAGAACCCCGCCUCCAGGGCCAGAGGCUUGGCUUGGAUUUGUCAUCAUCAUCAUCACCAUCAUCAUCGGCUGAGCCCUCACUGCUUCUUGGGAGCCGGGCUCAGCUUCCUGCCUCCACGGGCACUACAGGAGGGAACAAAGUCACAGUCAGGGUCAUGUAGAAAGAGGCCAAGGAUGGAUUCGACCCAG
Molecule: long non-coding RNA, 1382 nt
Organism: Sapajus apella (tufted capuchin)
Lineage: Eukaryota; Metazoa; Chordata; Mammalia; Primates; Cebidae
Exons: 2
Source: RefSeq, a predicted model, not a curated record